AUGUUGACAUCGAUAUUUAAUUCAUCUACGGCAGAAUCUGCUAGUGUUGAUGAGGAACUGGUUAUUACUGUGGAUAUUUAUGAUCCAAGCAAUUGUGGUAGUCUUGAUAACAAAGCAAGGGACAUAUUAGUGGAAAACGGGCCUAAAAGGGAAGAAGAAAACACUAAAUAUCCUUCGGAUGAAACUUAAAGACAUUUUUCGUAUAGCCAUUACUCAAGAAAAAUGAGCAAUGGAGAGGUGCGUGAUAGGAGAUGGUUAGUUUUUUCUUUUAUGAAACUUUAA
This 282-nucleotide ribosomal RNA is filed under the name Triticum aestivum (bread wheat). Its description in RNAcentral is "partial small subunit ribosomal RNA". The record is from RNAcentral. Lineage: Eukaryota; Viridiplantae; Streptophyta; Magnoliopsida; Poales; Poaceae.